Anolis carolinensis (green anole) is the source of this 650-nucleotide long non-coding RNA. RefSeq lists it as uncharacterized. The record is from RefSeq and is a predicted model, not a curated record. Lineage: Eukaryota; Metazoa; Chordata; Lepidosauria; Squamata; Anolidae. The transcript has 2 exons.
GCAAAGAAUGCUGCCUGUUCCAAAGGUUGACGAGUACAGACAAGUGCACUGACCAUCCAUUCGCGGAAGGAACAGCUGGGAGCAGCAAAGCACACUAUAGCGUUCGGCCCAGCCAUGUGCCAACAGAGAGAGAGAGCCUUUGUAAGAUGAUUUCAUAACCGAGCCAAGAAGCAAAAGGGGAGGGAGCAGGAAGAAGAAGGUUGUCUAAAGAGGUGGAGAAACGAAGGUUUACUGGAGAUGCCUUAGAGCAUGGAGAGCAGACUUAUAACUGGAUUUAGAGUCCUGCCUAACCUGUUUUGUGCUACAGGCAUGAAGAUGCAGGCCAAAGUACAAGCAAGGAAAACUAGCCAACCGUAGCUUGCCGAGGCUUACCUCCUCCCUCCCCCAUGUGGCAUUGCUGGACCAAUCAUGAUGCUCCACCCAGCUGUUCGGCUCUACUCCCGCACCCAAUGACUGACAGCAGUGCACUGUUGCUGCAGAAGUUGUCAUCCAUCACUGGAGAAAGAGAGCUGCGCCGUGUACCAGAAACUUUAGACAUCUUAAAACCACACGAGCAUCUGUAUUUCCUCCCUCCACAGCCUGGAUUCUUUCUUAAGGGAGUGCAGGCUAGCACAGUCAUUACCAAAAACAAUUAAAAACUUUUCAAAGCA